AGAGUUUGAUCAUGGCUCAGAUUGAACGCUGGCGGCAGGCCUAACACAUGCAAGUCGAGCGGUAGCACAGAGAGCUUGCUCUCGGGUGACGAGCGGCGGACGGGUGAGUAAUGUCUGGGAAACUGCCUGAUGGAGGGGGAUAACUACUGGAAACGGUAGCUAAUACCGCAUAACGUCGCAAGACCAAAGUGGGGGACCUUCGGGCCUCAUGCCAUCAGAUGUGCCCAGAUGGGAUUAGCUAGUAGGUGGGGUAACGGCUCACCUAGGCGACGAUCCCUAGCUGGUCUGAGAGGAUGACCAGCCACACUGGAACUGAGACACGGUCCAGACUCCUACGGGAGGCAGCAGUGGGGAAUAUUGCACAAUGGGCGCAAGCCUGAUGCAGCCAUGCCGCGUGUGUGAAGAAGGCCUUCGGGUUGUAAAGCACUUUCAGCGGGGAGGAAGGCGUUAAGGUUAAUAACCUUGGCGAUUGACGUUACCCGCAGAAGAAGCACCGGCUAACUCCGUGCCAGCAGCCGCGGUAAUACGGAGGGUGCAAGCGUUAAUCGGAAUUACUGGGCGUAAAGCGCACGCAGGCGGUCUGUCAAGUCGGAUGUGAAAUCCCCGGGCUCAACCUGGGAACUGCAUUCGAAACUGGCAGGCUAGAGUCUUGUAGAGGGGGGUAGAAUUCCAGGUGUAGCGGUGAAAUGCGUAGAGAUCUGGAGGAAUACCGGUGGCGAAGGCGGCCCCCUGGACAAAGACUGACGCUCAGGUGCGAAAGCGUGGGGAGCAAACAGGAUUAGAUACCCUGGUAGUCCACGCCGUAAACGAUGUCGAUUUGGAGGUUGUGCCCUUGAGGCGUGGCUUCCGGAGCUAACGCGUUAAAUCGACCGCCUGGGGAGUACGGCCGCAAGGUUAAAACUCAAAUGAAUUGACGGGGGCCCGCACAAGCGGUGGAGCAUGUGGUUUAAUUCGAUGCAACGCGAAGAACCUUACCUGGUCUUGACAUCCACAGAACUUUCCAGAGAUGGAUUGGUGCCUUCGGGAACUGUGAGACAGGUGCUGCAUGGCUGUCGUCAGCUCGUGUUGUGAAAUGUUGGGUUAAGUCCCGCAACGAGCGCAACCCUUAUCCUUUGUUGCCA
Molecule: ribosomal RNA, 1121 nt
Filed under: Klebsiella pneumoniae subsp. pneumoniae LCT-KP214
Lineage: Bacteria; Pseudomonadati; Pseudomonadota; Gammaproteobacteria; Enterobacterales; Enterobacteriaceae
Description: bacterial SSU rRNA
Rfam family: Bacterial small subunit ribosomal RNA
Source: RNAcentral